RNAcentral lists this long non-coding RNA (548 nucleotides) under Oryctolagus cuniculus (rabbit). RNAcentral's name for it is "lncRNA (ENSOCUG00000038779.1)". Lineage: Eukaryota; Metazoa; Chordata; Mammalia; Lagomorpha; Leporidae. The record is from RNAcentral.
CUCUGUGUCUUCCUUUUGCUUUUGAGAUACAGCUCAGGAAUUUAGCCAAAAAUUUACUAAAUUUCUUGAACUCCCAGGAAUGAAUAAAUAGUGCACUGAAGAUCUUCACAAAUCACAUCAUUUGAGAGAACAGGCCUCUGUGUAGCAAUGAGGAGAGAGGGCACUUGCUACUCAAGACAAAUGGCACUUCAAGAUUCAAGGGUCUUGGGGCCAGCGCUGUGGCACAGAAGGUUAACGCUCUGGCCUGAAGCACCGGCAUCGUAUAUGGGCACCUGUUUUAAUCCUGGCUGCUCCUCUUGCAAUCCAGCUCUCUGAUAUGGCCUGGGAAAGCAGUAGAAGAUAGCCCCAAGUCCUUGGGCCACUGCACCCAAGUGGGAGACCCGGAAGAAGCUCCUGGCUCUGGCUUCGGAUUGGCGCAGCUCCAGGUCGUUGCAGACGUCUUGGGAGUGGACCACCGGACGGAAGACCUCUCUCUCUCUGCCUCUCCUCUCUCUUUGUAACUCUGACUUUCAAAUAAAUAAAUAAAUCUUUAAAAAAACCUAUAAAAA